UACGUAGGUGGCAAGCGUUGUCCGGAUUUACUGGGCGUAAAGGAUGCGUAGGCGGAUAUAGUAAGUCAGAUGUGAAAUACCCGGGCUCAACUUGGGUGCUGCAUUUGAAACUGAUAUAUCUAGAGUGCGGGAGAGGUAAGUGGAAUUCCUAGUGUAGCGGUGAAAUGCGUAGAGAUUAGGAAGAACACCAGUGGCGAAGGCGAACUUACUGGACCGUAACUGA
RNAcentral lists this ribosomal RNA (223 nucleotides) under uncultured bacterium. RNAcentral describes it as "partial 16S ribosomal RNA". It matches the Rfam family "Bacterial small subunit ribosomal RNA", at positions 524 to 743 of the family's 1533-position model. The record is from RNAcentral.